Molecule: ribosomal RNA, 497 nt
Filed under: uncultured bacterium
Lineage: Bacteria
Description: partial 16S ribosomal RNA
Rfam family: Bacterial small subunit ribosomal RNA
Source: RNAcentral
GACGAACGCUGGCGGCGUGCCUAAUACAUGCAAGUUGAGCGAUGAAGAUUGGUGCUUGCACCAAUUUGAAGAGCAGCGAACGGGUGAGUAACGCGUGGGGAAUCUGCCUUUGAGCGGGGGACAACAUUUGGAAACGAAUGCUAAUACCGCAUAACAACUUUAAACAUAAGUUUUAAGUUUGAAAGAUGCAAUUGCAUCACUCAAAGAUGAUCCCGCGUUGUAUUAGCUAGUUGGUGAGGUAAAGGCUCACCAAGGCGAUGAUACAUAGCCGACCUGAGAGGGUGAUCGGCCACAUUGGGACUGAGACACGGCCCAAGCUCCUACGGGAGGCAGCAGUAGGGGAUCUUCGGCGAUGGACGAAGGUCUGACCGAGCAACGCCGCGUGAGUGAAGAAGGUUUUCGGAUCGUAAAACUCUGUUGGUAGAGAAGAACGUUGGUGAGAGUGGAAAGCUCAUCAAGUGACGGUAACUAACCAGAAAGGGACGGCUAACUACGUG